UGGGAACGUACCCUUCGGUUCGGAAUAACCCGGGGAAACUCGGGCUAAUACCGGAUACGUCCGCAAGGAGAAAGAUUUAUCGCCAUUGGAUGGGCCCGCGUCGGAUUAGCUAGUUGGUGGGGUAACGGCCCACCAAGGCGACGAUCCGUAGCUGGUCUGAGAGGACGAACAGCCACACUGGGACUGAGAUACGGUCCAGACUCCUACGGGAGGCAG
This 216-nucleotide ribosomal RNA is filed under the name uncultured bacterium. RNAcentral's name for it is "partial 16S ribosomal RNA". It matches the Rfam family "Bacterial small subunit ribosomal RNA", at positions 118 to 351 of the family's 1533-position model. The record is from RNAcentral.